UGGGUUGCAAAAGAAGUAGGUAGGUUAAGCUUCGUGUGGGAGCUUACCACUUUGUGAUUCAUGACUGGGGUGAAGUCGUAACAAGGUAACCGUAGGGGAACCUGCGGUUGGAUCACCUCCUUACCUUAAAGAA
This 133-nucleotide ribosomal RNA is filed under the name Citrobacter freundii. Its description in RNAcentral is "partial 16S ribosomal RNA". It matches the Rfam family "Bacterial small subunit ribosomal RNA", at positions 1411 to 1533 of the family's 1533-position model. The record is from RNAcentral. Lineage: Bacteria; Pseudomonadati; Pseudomonadota; Gammaproteobacteria; Enterobacterales; Enterobacteriaceae.